RNAcentral lists this RNase P RNA (340 nucleotides) under Clostridia bacterium. Its description in RNAcentral is "RNase P RNA component class A". It matches the Rfam family "Bacterial RNase P class A". From Rfam's summary of the family: Ribonuclease P (RNase P) is a ubiquitous endoribonuclease, found in archaea, bacteria and eukarya as well as chloroplasts and mitochondria. The record is from RNAcentral. Lineage: Bacteria; Bacillati; Bacillota; Clostridia.
UAAACAUUCCGAGCGAUCGCGGGCAUCAAACGAAAGGCGAUGUCUGAGGAAAGUCCGGGCUCCUACGGGAAAGGAUAACGGAUAACGUCCGCCGAAGGUGACUUCCGAGAUAGUGCAACAGAAAAAAACCGCCGCAAGGCAAGGGUGAAAAGGCGAGGUAAGAGCUCACCGGGACGAUGGUAACACCGUCCGCUGUGUAAACCUUAUCCGGAGCAAUGCCGUGACGCGACCCCACAGGUCUCCCGUCCGGGGUACAGAGGCAGCUGGAGAUCUGCGGUAACGCAGAUUCGAGAUAGAUGAUCGCAUAACACAGAACCCGGCUUACAGGAAUGUUUACAUA